AUACGGAGGGGGCUAGCGUUGUUCGGAAUCACUGGGCGUAAAGCGCGCGUAGGCGGAUUGGUCAGUUGGGGGUGAAAUCCCGGGGCUCAACCCCGGAACUGCCUCCAAAACUGCCAGUCUCGAGUCCGGGAGAGGUGAGUGGAAUUCCGAGUGUAGAGGUGAAAUUCGUAGAUAUUCGGAGGAACACCAGUGGCGAAGGCGACUCACUGGCCCGGUACUGACGCUGAGGUGCGAAAGCGUGGGGAGCAAACAGGAUUAGAUACCCCGGUAGUCC
This 274-nucleotide ribosomal RNA is filed under the name uncultured bacterium. Its description in RNAcentral is "partial 16S ribosomal RNA". It matches the Rfam family "Bacterial small subunit ribosomal RNA", at positions 523 to 796 of the family's 1533-position model. The record is from RNAcentral.